RNAcentral lists this ribosomal RNA (461 nucleotides) under Salmonella enterica subsp. enterica serovar Typhimurium. Its description in RNAcentral is "partial 23S ribosomal RNA". It matches the Rfam family "Bacterial large subunit ribosomal RNA", at positions 1918 to 2378 of the family's 2925-position model. The record is from RNAcentral. Lineage: Bacteria; Pseudomonadati; Pseudomonadota; Gammaproteobacteria; Enterobacterales; Enterobacteriaceae.
CCCCGGUAAACGGCGGCCGUAACUAUAACGGUCCUAAGGUAGCGAAAUUCCUUGUCGGGUAAGUUCCGACCUGCACGAAUGGCGUAAUGAUGGCCAGGCUGUCUCCACCCGAGACUCAGUGAAAUUGAACUCGCUGUGAAGAUGCAGUGUACCCGCGGCAAGACGGAAAGACCCCGUGAACCUUUACUAUAGCUUGACACUGAACAUUGAGCCUUGAUGUGUAGGAUAGGUGGGAGGCUUUGAAGUGUGGACGCCAGUCUGCAUGGAGCCGACCUUGAAAUACCACCCUUUAAUGUUUGAUGUUCUAACGUGGACCCGUAAUCCGGGUUGCGGACAGUGUCUGGUGGGUAGUUUGACUGGGGCGGUCUCCUCCUAAAGAGUAACGGAGGAGCACGAAGGUUGGCUAAUCCUGGUCGGACAUCAGGAGGUUAGUGCAAUGGCAUAAGCCAGCUUGACUGCGA